Long non-coding RNA from Harpia harpyja (harpy eagle), 3072 nucleotides. RefSeq lists it as uncharacterized. The transcript is spliced from 2 exons. Lineage: Eukaryota; Metazoa; Chordata; Aves; Accipitriformes; Accipitridae. The record is from RefSeq and is a predicted model, not a curated record.
GGGCCGCGAACCGCCGGAAGAGGCAGGGCGCAGCCGGCCGGCGGAACUACCGCUCCCGCCGCGCCGCGCGGCGGGCGGGGCGGGGCUGGCGCGGGGCGUGCCGGGAGCUGUAGUCUCGGGCGGAGGCUGCGGCGGGCGCCCUUGGCGGCCCACCCCUCUGCCCGGGGCUCACGGGCCUGUGGGGAGGCGCCGGCCUGGCGACCCGCGGGGCCCGCCCUUCCCCCGGAGCUGGAGAACGAGGGCGAGCCUGGGCGGUGGGGCGGUGAGAGGGAGAGGGGCGAACUGGGCGAAUAGUCUCAGGCUCCCCUGGGCCGCCUGCGGCUCUGGCCCGGGCCCGGGCCGAUCACGGGGGAGGCUUGAGGGGUGGGAGGCAGCUGCCGGCCGCUGGCGGGUACCCGCCUCGGGGCGGCUGCGGGCGGGCCUAAAGGCAGCUCCCGGGCAGCCGAGUGGAGGGGUCCGGCUCUCAAAGAGGCCUGGAGAACGGCCAAAAACUCUCCUCGAGUGGGAGAACUGCCGUCGGGUGAAGGCUUCGGGGUGUUGCCAGGGAGUCGGUGUUGGGAGAGAUUGAGCUCCUGCAAAAGCUGAGUGAGAGGCCUUUUCGUUGAUACCAUACUUCCAAGCAGAUGGUGCAUCUUGGGAUAUUUGAAUACACCGGUAACAAACAAACAAGAAAAAACAGAUAGCCAAAUCCAUCUGAACCUUGAUGAUUCCUGUGUCCUAAAUCUACUGCUGAAGCAUCUGGCUGCAAGAUACGUAAAUUCGUAUUCGUGGGAGGCUGGAGUACAGGUGAUGGAACUGAAGUCAGAAAGAUUAACACAUUUACUUUUCCCUCUCUUGCAAUCUGGUGUAGGUAUGCUGAGAACACGUAUAGGGCCAUAAUAACCCAUUUGAAAAAUACAUCCUGAUAAUAAAUACAUUGAAAUGACUAAAAUGCUUUACCUUCAAAAGCAGCUCCUCAUCAUAGUAAGACUUGUGGAUCACAUAAUUUCUUUGGUGAAUGCCUCAGCCCCAGCCACAAAGGAAGCGUUUAGAGACCAUUUGGCAGGGGAGGAGUAAUUUAGGUUCAGGCUCUGCCUUGGCUCCAGCAGAGCCCUCACCUUCCAUUUCAGCUGCCAGCCUCUCCUCCAGGCCUGCCACCAUCACACCUGCCUACUUUAGCACUUUGCUCCAUGCCUCCCUUGCCAACAGCAAACACCCAUGUGACUUUUAAUACCAUCACUGACUGAAGAAGAAAUAAGUGAGGAGUGCUCUAGAAAAGUACUUCAGAGCAGUGUUACCUGAUUGGAAUUGGCUUCAAUAGGUGGAGUUACGUGGCAUAUACGUGAAAAUGUUAUUAGAGGUCUGCAACUACUCUGGCUGCAGUUUUCCAGCUACAGACUUAUUUUAUGAAGCACAUGAAACAGCAUCUUCAUUUACAUCCUUUAUUUACAGUGCAAUAUUUAAAGUUAUUGUCUGGUGGUCUGCUGGACUUUGUUAGCAAAACCAACGUUCCAGUCUGUUUAUGCAUUCUUACCCUUGGGAUCUGGAAGAUAAACUGGAAGACAGAGGGUUUUUUUCUGUCCUAGUAUGUUUUUUUCUUCUUCUGUUAACAUGGACACUUACUCUGUUACCUCCACUCUUUGUUUCUGUUAACAAAUCCACCAAAGAUUAAGCCAUAGUGUACACUUCUCAGAAACAGUGAUUCAGCUCCAGAAUUACCUGGUGAUUGUGUACCAGAAGAACUGGGUCUUGGCUUGCAAAGAAUCAAGACAGGGGGAACUGCUGCCAAAUAGUAAAUGCCACAAAAGGUUCUGUCUUUUCCCCUUUUAAUGGGGUUAAAAAAAACCAGUCAAGAGUACAAAUUCAAAAGAAGCUUCCUCUAUGCAGAUUUAGAAGACAGAAAUACCUCCGUUUUCUAAUUCUUUUAUGCAUCCCCUGUAUAAGAAAAUUUGAGGAGAACCAGAAGUUAAGAUCUCUCCUUAAUAUGACAACAGGUCUUGCAGGUUUUUCCAUGUGUGGUUUUCGGUACAAACACCUUCUUAGGCAUGGUUGCGCGAUAGAUACAACUGACAUCAGGGGAUGUGCAGGGGCUGGGGGAGGGCAGAGUUAAUCCUUAUCACCAGCAUAUGGAGAGGCAGGGAAUGAAGGACAGGGCACAGCAUCAAGCCAUGGCUCACAGAGGGAGCAUCACUGAGGCUGGAGGGGACCCCAGGAGGGCCACAGUUCAAUUUCCAGCUCAAAGCAGGGCCAAAGCUGAAUUCAGGCCAGGUCACUCAGGGCUUUGUCCUGUGGGGUCAUUAAAACCUCCGAGGACAGAGAUUUCACAGCCUCCCCGGGCAGCGCGGCUCAGUGCUUGCCUGUCCAGCUUCAGCCUGCACAUUUUGUGUUAUAGUAAUGGCAGAGUUGAUACAUAAACACUGAGUGGGUGGCUUAAUGGUAAUUAUGUAUGAGCAUGGUUUUUUAGUGUAGUCUUUGUUGUUGUUUGAACACACUGCGAACCUUAAUAAUGCAUUAAUCUGUUUUGUUGUGUUUAGUGUCAUUUCUGAUCUAAUGCUUUUAUUUCAUCCAGACUGAUGUAAUUUUUCAUACUAAACAACACCUGUGCUGUUGAUCAGCAGUAUCUGGCAGCCUUCUCCAAGAUCUGAUUAAUUUCAUUUUAACACCUCAUAGCACAGCUCAAGAAUGACAUCUUGGAUCUAUUGUAGUCAAUAGAACUUCUCUCACUGAUUUCAGUGAGAGCAUGAUGUCAUUCCAGCAGCAUCUUUAGUAUCUUCAUCACUGCUUGCAAAAGGAUAACAUUUGCUUAAUCUGAGGUCAACAUUUGUCCUGUGUGUUUGUAGAUCUUAAUGUUUGUCAUGCUCUGAAUUCAGUAUUGUUGUAAUAAAAUCUCAGUUUGGAGGUGGUUUGACAUUUUUCAAAACUAUUUGCUAUUAAAUAUUAAACAAGCUCUCUCUGUACCUGAGAAGUAGCAGAGUAGGUUCAGUUUCAUAAUACUGUUUUCCACAGUUUAUUAUGCAGGUAGUUUAUUCAGUCCCUCCAAUUCUGAACUUGAAAAUGUCUUGCAAUAAAACAAUAUCAUGACCUUCUUUGCAA